RNAcentral lists this ribosomal RNA (506 nucleotides) under uncultured bacterium. RNAcentral describes it as "partial 16S ribosomal RNA". It matches the Rfam family "Bacterial small subunit ribosomal RNA", at positions 29 to 523 of the family's 1533-position model. The record is from RNAcentral.
AGUGAACGCUGGCGGUAGGCCUAACACAUGCAAGUCGAACGGCAGCACAGGAGAGCUUGCUCCCUGGGUGGCGAGUGGCGGAUGGGUGAGGAAUACAUCGGAAUCUACUCUGUCGUGGGGGAUAACGUAGGGAAACUUACGCUAAUACCGCAUACGACCUACGGGUGAAAGCAGGGGACCUUCGGGCCUUGCGCGAUUGAAUGAGCCGAUGUCGGAUUAGCUAGUUGGCGGGGUAAAGGCCCACCAAGGCGACGAUCCGUAGCUGGUCUGAGAGGAUGAUCAGCCACACUGGAACUGAGACACGGUCCAGACUCCUACGGGAGGCAGCAGUGGGGAAUAUUGGACAAUGGGCGCAAGCCUGAUCCAGCCAUACCGCGUGGGUGAAGAAGGCCUUCGGGUUGUAAAGCCCUUUUGUUGGGAAAGAAAUCCAGCUGGCUAAUACCCGGUUGGGAUGACGGUUCCCAAAGAAUAAGCACCGGCUAACUUCGUGCCAGCCGCCGCCGUAA